RNAcentral lists this long non-coding RNA (1080 nucleotides) under Volvox carteri. RNAcentral's name for it is "long non-coding RNA (VCAR_LNC000211)". The record is from RNAcentral. Lineage: Eukaryota; Viridiplantae; Chlorophyta; Chlorophyceae; Chlamydomonadales; Volvocaceae.
CGCACAGCGGUGCGCUGGCUCUGCUUGUACACAGUCAGCACGCGAGCGAUAGACUUGCGGACCACCUUAAUCUUCGACAGCUUGUUGGGGGCACCGCCGGUGACCUACAGGGAACGGGAUUGAGCAGAUUGAAUUUAUGGGAACCCCCGCUAUACAAAACCGUGCCGGGAAUGUACUGCUUAGUCCCAAGAAACCGCGUGUUAGCCGUUCGGACGAUACAAGCCUUUCCCCAUGGGCGAUAAUGCAAUGGGUAAGCUCCAGUCCACGUGGCACACAGAGCUGUGAUGCAGCUCCGGCCAAGAGACACGAAGGCACACCUUGGCAACGCGCAGGGCGCUGAGCUCGCUCUUCAGGUCCUUGAGCUGACUGAUCAGCUCCUGCUUGCUCUUGGUCCUGAGCUCGUGCAUCUUGACCUUGGCUGCAAGGCCAUCGUCACAGCGGCGGCGGGGCGGCAACCACCAGCCCGGAAUGUAACGUGUUAGAUUGAUGCCGCUGACCUACUAUCGUUGCUUAAAACAAUAUCCUUGAUCGGAAAUGGAAAAGCUGUAACUAGUAUACCGCUUGGACAGGUUGCUUAAGCAUUAUGCACAAAGCCUGAUGUGCUCUGGUUCAAUUCGUUUCAAACAUUUGACGGCAUUGAAUCAACAAACUACUUCAGCCGAACGCCGACUUAUUCUGAAAUGUCGGCCGAACAAGCCCUGACCAGAGAAAUCCCUCUUAACGUACCCAUCUUGCUAGGUUUCUUGCAAACGGCAGGGCAAGGGCAAGUGCAGGGAAAGAGGGAAACAUGUGCAGGGACUCGGACUUUGGGAUUGCCGAGUUAGCUCCAGGGCGACCGCGCAGGCGGGGCUCUCUGAGAAACAGAGAACAAAUACCUACGUUAUUGUUGAAUUUGAAGACAUCAUUACACACGUUUACGCGUUAAACCUCAACGGUGCUGGCCUGAGACACCAUGGGUUUCCCUCAGAAACAAGUGGGACACAAAAGCUGGAUAACCCAGACGUGCCCUGUAAGGACUUUACAAGGUACUGUGUUUACUAGAACAUACAGCCUAAAAAACAUUAGCACGGCUGGCUAGGG